AACGAACGCUGGCGGCAUGCCUAACACAUGCAAGUCGAACGGGAUCCUAGCUUGCUAGGUGAGAGUGGCGGACGGGUGAGUAACACGUGGGAAUCUGCCUUUUGGUUCGGGAUAACCGCGGGAAACUGCGGCUAAUACCGAAUGCCCUCGAGAGAGGAAAGAUUUAUCGCCAGAAGAGGAGCCCGCGUCCGAUUAGGUAGUUGGUGGGGUAAAGGCCUACCAAGCCGACGAUCGGUAGCUGGUCUGAGAGGGUGAUCAGCCACACUGGGACUGAGAUACGGCCCAGACUCCUACGGGAGGCAGCAGUGGGGAAUAUUGGACAAUGGGGGCAACCCUGAUCCAGCAAUGCCGCGUGAGUGAUGAAGGCCUUAGGGUUGUAAAGCUCUUUUGCCAGGGAAGAUGAUGACUGUACCUGGAGAAUAAGCCCCGGCUAACUUCGUGCCAGCAGCCGCGGUAAU
RNAcentral lists this ribosomal RNA (458 nucleotides) under uncultured bacterium. Its description in RNAcentral is "bacterial SSU rRNA". It matches the Rfam family "Bacterial small subunit ribosomal RNA", at positions 29 to 524 of the family's 1533-position model. The record is from RNAcentral.